AUUCGAGUAACAGCCGGACACACUGAGCAGCUGUAGUUGUGUCGAAAGUAAGAAUAGUGGUCGACGGGUCCGUUUCUGUGACUGCUCCGCGCACAAAGAUCACACAAGUACGUGAUUCAUCAACGGCCCACGACGUCGUCUGCUGCGGUGCGUCUUGCAGGAACAAGUAUGAGGACUCCACAAAAACAUCUGUUGCGGCCGCAUUGAUGUUAAACCAUCUCUUGUUUCUUUGGUAGAAACAUCUGUUCAUCCUCUGAUUUAAUCAUCAUCCGAGUCUUCCUCCUCUCGUUGGAGGCGGGAAGAUGACGACUUCAGUGGAACUGAAUCAAAUCCAUCUGACGUCCUCUGAAAACACAUAUUUAAUAACACGAAGCAUCAACAGCAGCCUUAGUAAAUAGCAGCUGAUGCUGAUGAGCAGUACAGCAGCGACUAUUCCGGUGGUAACACCAAACUUAAGCCAGAAAUCCAGACUGACACAAGCGCUGACUGUUUGUGCUGGUAGGGCCACUCCUCCAUAACACUGCAACGGCUGCUGCCACACGUAAGUGGUUUUCUGAAACAAAAUGUCCCCAUAAACAUAUAUAUAUAUAUAUAUAUAUAUUCCAAUGCUUCAGUGUAUCUGUGCCACAAACUAGCUGUUUUCAGACAUGAAUUCUGGAAAAUGUAUGGAAAAUUGGGUCCUUUCCAUUUGCAUAUGAAGAACAUAGCGGGAGAAUGUCCCGAGUCACAAUCGCAGGAAAAUUUCCCAAACAUUCAGGCACCUGGGUAAAGCCUCCGCUCGCUUGCCAUGAAUCUUCUGGAGCCUUCCCUGCUGUAUUCCCACAUGGGCACUACAAACAUUUUCCAGAUAUUUCACUAGGGGGCUGGCAGGAAAAGUGCCAGAAAAUGUCUGGAGCCCAAUUUGAGGACAUUUUGCGUUCUCACAUACAGCCUCUUCAGAAAAGUUUGAAUCAUGUCUGAAAGCAGCAACACCUAUACAGUAUCUUAAGUUAAAUACAAGAUGCUGCACUUUGUGGCUAAAUAAUCACAUGUACUGGAACAUUUCAAACCAUCUUGUACUCAAUCAUUCCAUAUAAAAUUUUCUGUAAUCUACGCAGACAUAAUUGGUAAUGUUUAGAAUCUUUACACACAGCAUGAAUUUGGUCAGUGAUGGAUUUGUGUUGUGGAGGAGGUCAGACAGAAGGUGUUUGUCAGUAUGCCCAUGCCAGUGCUCUCCUACCUGUAUUCCCUGGAUACAAGCGCUGACGAUUUCUCUGUAGUGGUCUUUGGUGCAGAGUGGACAUGCAUGCUGGCUCUGCCACAGUAAGUGGAAAACACAGCCAUCGCACGUCCCUUCUGAACAGUUACUUCGGAGGGGAACAAGGUAAGAGAGAUGUUGACGAGCUUUUCAUGGCAAAAAAAAUUAUCUCCAAGGAGCCACUUUGUUCAGCCUCAGAGAGCUCAAUGUGUGUCAGUGGCUGUUGAAGUACAGUUGGUCAAAUGAAAUGUCUGCAAGAAAAUCUGAGCUCAGUUAUGGUGUAAGAUACCUUGGCAGUGUGAUGUGGUCUUUGGCAGUCAACGCCGGAUCGCAUCUCAGCCUGAUGGUGGCUGACCUGCCUUGUUUACAAGUCUGAGUCGUCUCACUAGACCUAGACACAUCACAAACGUGACAAACAUGAAGGUCUAAACUUCCACCGUGAGACUUUUUUUAUUAUAAAUAAAAUGUAUUUUUAUUUUUUAUUAUAUUUCAACAAUUGAUGUUAUAAUUUAAUAUGAAAAAUAUGUAUUUUAAAGCAUCACAUGGGUGAUUGAAACACAAUAAAUUGUGAUCUUAUUUACUUGUAAUAGAAGAUGACGUCUGGCAGGCUGGAAGCAGACGGGAACAACCAUUCUGGGGAAGAGAUGCUGCUCAGCUCCGUGUCAGUGGUCGCACCUUCACAAUGACAACAUGCGACAAAAUGUUGUCAUCUGAUAAACGACAUGCACACUGUGCAUCAGUGACUCCCAACCGCAUGUUCUAGCAACCCAAACCUUCGGGUUUAUGCAAAAUUUCUUCUCAUUUCAUAUCGGCAGUCAUAAUCUUACAACCCCUUAGAAUCAGCUGGCGACACCUUGUAUCAAAUAAUGUAUAAUUCAGCCACAAUUAGAUAUUGCUCAAUAUUCCAGCAGGCUGAAUAAUCUAUGCUAAAUCUAGCAACAGUAAAACCAACCGAGGAUUUAAAGGAGGAGAACAAGUUUAAGUCUUCUCUAUUUCUCUAUUAAACGCUCAUAUUAAACAGUCAUAGUUUAAGUUUGGGAAUAACAUUCUUAGGUAAUAUUUACUGAACGUUUAAGACUUGUGAAAGUCCAGGUUUUUUGGAGCACACACUGAUGAAAAACAAAAAGUCAAAUGGGAAAUCAUGAUGCAACACACCAUCAGUGUGUGUGGACUUGACAGAGGGUGCUGCCGGUGUUUACUGCCCUUCAUUAAUAUUAGGACAUUUCAACACUCUUUUCAGCAAAUGACUUAAUAACAUAUCCUCUCAUUUAGGGCAACAGAUGGCUGCAGCAAUCAGUUCCUACCGAUGAGUGAGUCACCGAUGAGGAAGGGCUGGGAGGACACCGUGCUCUGACUCCUGAUUUCAGAGGGAACCACAGUGGACUGGCAUACGUAACCUUUGACCUCCCUCCCACUCCCCGUUGCACUGUCCGCACAGGUCGCUGGCGUGCGGCCCUGUGAGAGAAACACGCCAGGUCAAAAUAUAUGUCAAAAUGGAAUUUCACAUGCAAAAAAACCCAAACCAUCAGGAUCAUUGCCUUCUCACCUCUUCCCCACACAGACCCACAUUGAAGCGAUGGAAGUAUUUCAGGCCUUUGUUGGUGAAGCGAGGGCUGCUGUGGAAGCCGGUGACGUUGGCCAGGGGGGAGAAGUCGUAGUGCAGCAGCGCUCCCGCCCUCGUGUGCACAUCCAGCGUGCAGUCACUUAGACAGGCUGAGUAAGCCUGGAGGGUGAGGUCAAGAAGUCAACGGACAUAUUUACAUACACAUCACACUCUGUUUGCAGUGGGUGGAGUGAUGUGGGAAACCCAAAUAAAAGAGAAAAUAGAAAUGUUGAGGUCAUGUUUUUGCCAAGCCAUGAAAUGACAAUCUGAUUUUAUCUUUUCAUGUUUUCUUUAUUAAUUGAUCCCCCCGGUGAUAUUUUCGGGAUAUUAUCCCUCUUCCUGAUGAUUUUAAAGCCAUGUACGUUUUUUUAUUAAACCCAAUACAUGUUGUGAAUUAUACAAAAAAAAACUUGGAAAUCAGCCAUUGGAAAAAACCUGUAGUGUAUAAUUUGUAACUGUGUGUUGAAAGCCUCAAAUGCCCAGAAACAAGCCUGAAGACACAAACCCUCUCAUCCUUGGAUUCGUCUAUGCACCAAUAGAUGCAGCUUUGUAUUUACAGUUUGGAAGUGGACAGGAUUUUGUUCUCCUCACCUUGUUUCUCUUGGUGUUUGGACCACACUGAACACAAGCGGCCUCUCCGACAGGCUGCUCAGCCCUGAUGAAAGUGUUUGCCGGGCAUCUCUUACACACCCCUGUCCCGUUGACCAUGUAGUGCCCCCGCGGACAGGGAACACAGGCGGAGUUGGCCUUAUCGGAGCUCAGGGCACAGCGGCGACACUGUGAGGCUACACCACCGAUGACAUUGGUGAUGUGGAUGGCGUAGAUCUUUGCAAUGUCACCACUGUAUUUCCUCUCCUGGGGGGGAGAGAAACAUUAGGUUGUCAGUCACCAGCUGAGUCACUGUACACAAUGUCUUCUCUGCAUAAAGGAACAGUUUGGAAGGCUAUAUACAUAGCAUCAGUGAUGGAAAGUAAUAAAUAAAUUCAUUAAAGUUCUGAACUUACGCACAA
This is a long non-coding RNA of Scophthalmus maximus (turbot), 3850 nucleotides long. RefSeq lists it as uncharacterized. The transcript has 3 exons. NCBI's taxonomy places the organism in Eukaryota, Metazoa, Chordata, Actinopteri, Pleuronectiformes, Scophthalmidae. The record is from RefSeq and is a predicted model, not a curated record.